Long non-coding RNA from Ricinus communis (castor bean), 609 nucleotides. RefSeq lists it as uncharacterized. The record is from RefSeq and is a predicted model, not a curated record. Lineage: Eukaryota; Viridiplantae; Streptophyta; Magnoliopsida; Malpighiales; Euphorbiaceae. The transcript has 2 exons.
ACUAAUACACACAAGAAUAAUGCAAAAAUAAAAAUAUGGAGGGCAAAUAUGCGUUUUGCCAAAACAUAACGUGGCAUUCCAUACUAAAAACUAGCGGCUUCGUCUCGCCGCGCAGACAGACAAUCAAUUUACACGUAGCUUUUCAAACCACUAAUAGUCCAACACGUGUCUUUCUACUCUUUGCAUCCCGAGAAAGACAACAAAUGGCCUACCUCAUCUUUCCUUCUUCUCUCUACUUUAAUCUCCAGGUGCCUUCCUACUCCUCCGACUAUCCUCACCGAUCACCACAAGAAUUUUCCGGCGACCCAGAAUGAGGGAAACAAUACUUAGUAGAGAAUAUGUUCAGAUUUAUAAAUCGUAGGAAGCUGAUGCUAAUGUAAAGAGAGAGGGAAGUGUAGAGUUGGAAGCUGAGAAACAGAGGAGCAAGAGCCAGUAUUUAUAAGCGGGUAGUUUUGCUUUUUAAUUGAGUUCACGGAUUUGGCCCUGCUGUAUACUCCUUUUUUCAUGUGUAUGUGUAUGUUCUUUCUCAUGUAUGUAACCGUAUUCAAAUGGGUGCUUUUGGUGUGAUAAAGCCCAUUUUUAGUCCUUAAGCUUUUGUGUUUUGUUCUA